This 527-nucleotide unclassified non-coding RNA is filed under the name Hevea brasiliensis (rubber tree). The record is from RNAcentral. Lineage: Eukaryota; Viridiplantae; Streptophyta; Magnoliopsida; Malpighiales; Euphorbiaceae.
GAGGAGUCUUAACAAUGACGGAGUCCUUUCCAUACUCUCUUGUGGCCUGAACUUAUCUCCUACUAUUAGGGAAGGCACAAAGUCAGAGAACAUGGCACGUAAAGCUGCAGGAGAAGAUCCUUUGCCUGAGGAGGAUCCUUCAAAUCCCAUUUUUAAGCCAAUCCCUGAGCCAUCACGGUUGGAUAGCUUCCUCAUCACCAAUCAAAUUGCAAACUUUUGCAACCAAAUUAACGGGGUUUCUGGACAGAGCUUCAACCGAUUGUAUUUGAUGAAGGCUUUGCAAGAUAGUUGAUGUUAUCUUAGCUGGUAAGUGUUUACUCUUUGGAAGAGGAUGCCUUUCCUGUUUGAAAAUGAAAAAUUUUGGAGCGAGAAAGCCAUGCUCGGAUUGUUAUCAACCAUUUUGAAAGCGACUGUAGAAUGAUAGCUUAGUAUUGUUUUUGCUUUUAAUAGUCAAUUAAAUUUGUUGAUCUAUAUAAUUAUGCUAUUCUGGAGUUUUAAAAAGCAAAUUCAAAUUUUUUUUAGAGAGG